GGCGGGCGGUGCCCGGACGCAGGUGCCCGCCGGAGCCGGAGCAAGCUGCUGCUGACGGGCCGGGCCGGGCCGGGACCCGGGCCAGGGACAACCGAGGGGCCUGUGCGGCCGCCCGGCCCGGCCGCGGAACAGGUUCCUGGGACCAUGGGCCUCAGGCCCUGAAGACAGGAGGCUCCCUGUGGCCAUGACGACAGGUGACUGUUGCCACCUCCCUGGCUCUCUAUGUGACUGUUCUAGCAGCCCUGCCUUUUCCAAGGUUGUAGAGGCCACAGGGCUUGGGCCACCUCAAUAUGUAGCACAAGUGACUUCACGGGAUGGCCGGCUGCUCUCAACUGUCAUCCGGGCUUUGGACACACAGAGUGACUGUCCCUUCUGCCGAAUCUGCCAUGAGGGAGCAACUGGGGAAAACUUGCUGUCCCCAUGUGGCUGCACUGGCACACUGGGAGCUGUGCACAAGAGCUGCCUGGAGAAAUGGCUGUCUUCCUCCAACACCAGCUACUGUGAGCUGUGUCACACUGAGUUUGCAGUGGAAAAGCGGCCCCGACCUCUCACAGAGUGGCUAAAGGACCCAGGGCCGCGCACUGAGAAGCGAACACUGUGCUGUGACAUGGUGUGCUUCGUGUUCAUCACACCACUGGCUGCCAUCUCAGGCUGGCUUUGCCUGCGAGGGGCCCAAGACCACCUCCGUCUGCAUAGCCGGCUGGAAGCUGUAGGUCUUAUUGCCCUCACCGUCGCCCUCUUUACCAUCUAUGUGCUCUGGACACUGGUCUCUUUCCGAUACCAUUGCCAGCUGUACUCAGAAUGGAGGAAGACCAAUCAGAAAGUCCGCCUGAAGAUUCGGGAAGCAGAUGGCUCCGAGGACCCACAUCACUCCUUGCUGGCUACUGGACUCUUAAAAAAGCUUCAGAGAUUCAGUCCAUUAUCAUUAAGGCAGGAGCAUGGCAGCAUCCAGGCAGGCAUAGUGCAGGUGGAGCUGAGAGUUCACAACAUCUUUGUCUGAAGGAGGCUACUAGAAGACUGAUUCCCAGGCAGUUAGGUCAAGGGUAUUAAAGUCCACACCCACAAACCCACAUCUACUCCAACAAGGUCACACCUACAACAGUGCCACUCCCUGGGCCAACCAUAUACAAACCAUCAUAGGUACAAAAUAUGUUAAUCAUGUGGGAGGUCCUGAUUCCAUUCCAAAAGGAAAAAGGUAAGAACAAUUUUCACAUAUUUUUUAUGCCAGAUCCCAUAUACUCUCUAUGACUGAUGGUAAUACUCUCUAUACCAAUCUGGGAUUAUCAUGGAUGAGACCCAACUCUGAGCUUGCUUCAUAUCUCUCCUCUUCUCUGGGGAAGAAACAGUUAUGACCUCUAUUUCUAAAGGUGGAAAGACAGGCUCGACAUAUGAAAACCUUUAUCUGAAGUUCUACAGCUUUAGGAGCUGGGGAUGCCCCAAUGUUAAGCUUUGUGCCCUACCCUCUGGCAGUCUCAAGAAAGAUGCAGAAUGUGGCUGUGGUAAUAACAGCUUCUGUUGCUCCUCACUCUUUUUUUUUAGUUGGCCCUGGAAUAAUGUAAAUAGACUGUUCUCAAAUUUGUGGUACUCCUCUUGUGUUUGCCUCUGAAACACAGAUUAUGUGUUAUGUGCCACCAUGCCUAGCCAGCUCACUUUUGAGCUCUUGUUGCAUGCUGCGUUAUGUAACAGCCUAGGGCUCUUGGCAUUUUCCUGCAUUUAAUGCCCAGGGCAGCCCUAAAAGGUGGUUUCUGGGGAGCAUGUUACUUACUUACUGGGGUUUUUUGUUUUUGUUUUUGUUUUUUUGAGACAGGGUUUCUCUAUGUAGCCCUGGCUGUCCUGGAACUCUGUAGAUUAGACUGGCUUCAAAGUCACAGAGAUCCACCUCCUCUGACCCCCAAGUGCUGGAAUUAAAGAUAAGCUGAUAUCUCCUUGACAUGCCAUGGCCAUUGUCACAGCAGGUGUGGUUACUUGCACAAGAUGGAAUCCCCCCAUCAUGUUGGGGUGGGGGAACCUUGGGAGGGUCUUCCCUGAAGACCUAUUGGCAGCAGUUGUUGGAGGAAAGAGGUGUCAUUUUCUUCAGUGUUGUAGCCACCCAUUUAGUUGCCCCAGUAAAUAAACCCCUAAUCUAUGCUCUUGCAAGCGAACCUAACUCAGUAGGUCAUAAAACAAAGACAAGAAACUACAUGGAGGAACUUGUUGGAAAGGUCCAGUGGAAAUGAGGGGGAAGUAAAACGGCAAUGGUAGGUGAAUAUGAUAAAAAACAGUAUAGGGUUAGGGAUUGAAGCUGGUAGACUGCUAGCAUGUUCAAAUCACUGGGUUCAAUCCCUAGCACUGAACAAACUGAGCAUGGUUCCUCCAGCACUCAAGAGGUGUAGGCGGACAGCUCAGACAUUCAAGGCCAGCAUUGGCUAGAAACUGUCUCAACAACAGCAACAAACCCCAAACAAACUCAAAAUACAUGAUUACAUAUAUGAAGUUGUUAAAAAAAAAAAAAAGCUAGGCGUGGUGGUGCUUGCCUUUAUUUCCUGCACUUGGUAGGUAGGGAGAGGCUGGAGGGCUACAUAGUGAGACCCUGCCUCAAAAAAGAAAGCUAAAGAGU
RNA transcript from Mus pahari (shrew mouse), 2596 nucleotides. It is a transcript of the gene named membrane associated ring-CH-type finger 2, with no coding region annotated. The transcript has 7 exons. The record is from RefSeq and is a predicted model, not a curated record. NCBI's taxonomy places the organism in Eukaryota, Metazoa, Chordata, Mammalia, Rodentia, Muridae.